UGGGGAAUAUUGCACAAUGGGCGGAAGCCUGAUGCAGCGACGCCGCGUGGGGGAUGAAGGCCUUCGAGUUGUAAACUCCUUUCGACAGGGACGAAGCUUUUGUGACGGUACCUGUAUAAGAAGCACCGGCUAACUACGUGCCAGCAGCCGCGGUAAUACGUAGGGUGCGAGCGUUGUCCGGAAUUACUGGGCGUAAAGAGCUCGUAGGUGGUUUGUCGCGUCGUCUGUGAAAUUCCGGGGCUUAACUCCGGGCGUGCAGGCGAUACGGGCUGACUUGAGUGCUGUAGGGGAGACUGGAAUUCCUGGUGUAGCGGUGAAAUGCGCAGAUAUCAGGAGGAACACCGAUGGCGAAGGCAGGUCUCUGGGCAGUAACUGACGCUGAGGAGCGAAAGCAUGGGUAGCGAACAGG
This 409-nucleotide ribosomal RNA is filed under the name Actinomycetes bacterium. RNAcentral describes it as "Actinobacteria bacterium partial 16S ribosomal RNA". It matches the Rfam family "Bacterial small subunit ribosomal RNA", at positions 355 to 776 of the family's 1533-position model. Lineage: Bacteria; Bacillati; Actinomycetota; Actinomycetes. The record is from RNAcentral.